GGAUGGAUGGUGUAGUUGGUUAUCACGUCUGUCUAACAUCUCGAUGUCCACAGACGGUCCUCAGUUCGAACCUGGGUCGCUUCA
This 84-nucleotide transfer RNA is filed under the name Rhizoctonia solani AG-8 WAC10335. The record is from Rfam by way of RNAcentral. Lineage: Eukaryota; Fungi; Basidiomycota; Agaricomycetes; Cantharellales; Ceratobasidiaceae.